GGGUUGUGAGGUUAAGCGACUAAGCGUACACGGUGGAUGCCCUGGCAGUCAGAGGCGAUGAAGGACGUGCUAAUCUGCGAUAAGCGCCGGUAAGGUGAUAUGAACCGUUAUAACCGGCGAUUUCCGAAUGGGGAAACCCAGUGUGACUCGUCACACUAUCAUUAACUGAAUCCAUAGGUUAAUGAGGCGAACCGGGGGAACUGAAACAUCUAAGUACCCCGAGGAAAAGAAAUCAACCGAGAUUCCCCCAGUAGCGGCGAGCGAACGGGGAGGAGCCCAGAGCCUGAAUCAGCAUGUGUGUUAGUGGAAGCGUCUGGAAAGGCGCGCGAUACAGGGUGACAGCCCCGUACACAAAAGCGCAUGUGCUGUGAGCUCGAUGAGUAGGGCGGGACACGUGGUAUCCUGUCUGAAUAUGGGGGGACCAUCCUCCAAGGCUAAAUACUCCUGACUGACCGAUAGUGAACCAGUACCGUGAGGGAAAGGCGAAAAGAACCCCGGCGAGGGGAGUGAAAAAGAACCUGAAACCGUGUACGUACAAGCAGUGGGAGCACAGGUUUACCUGUGUGACUGCGUACCUUUUGUAUAAUGGGUCAGCGACUUAUAUUCUGUAGCAAGGUUAACCGUAU
RNAcentral lists this ribosomal RNA (626 nucleotides) under Salmonella enterica subsp. enterica serovar Muenchen. Its description in RNAcentral is "partial 23S ribosomal RNA". It matches the Rfam family "Bacterial large subunit ribosomal RNA", at positions 1 to 655 of the family's 2925-position model. The record is from RNAcentral. Lineage: Bacteria; Pseudomonadati; Pseudomonadota; Gammaproteobacteria; Enterobacterales; Enterobacteriaceae. RNAcentral also lists the same sequence under 2 other names.